UGGCUCUCGCAUCGAUGAAGAACGCAGCGAAUUGCGAUAAGUAAUGUGAAUUGCAGAAUUCAGUGAAUCAUCGAAUCUUUGAACGCACCUUGCACCCCUUGGUAUUCCGAGGGGUACACCUGUUUGAGUGUCGUGAAUAACCCAUCGACCUUCGUGCUUGCGCGAAGUGUUCGGACUUGGGCGUUGCUCGUGGCCUCGGCCUCCGGCUCGCCUCAAAUUCAUUUGCGAUCGAGGAACCCCGACGCGUGUUGAUAUACGUCUACGCACGUUAGGGCGAUCCGUCCGCACAACCUAUUCAUUUUGACCUUUGACCUCAAAUCAGGUGGGACUACCCGCUGA
This 339-nucleotide unclassified non-coding RNA is filed under the name uncultured fungus. RNAcentral describes it as "partial contains 5.8S ribosomal RNA and internal transcribed spacer 2". The stretch from base 1 to 133 matches the Rfam family "5.8S ribosomal RNA", at positions 22 to 154 of the family's 154-position model. The record is from RNAcentral. Lineage: Eukaryota; Fungi.